GUAAGGCAGAGAACCACCUAGACAGAGUUUGGGUAAUGUCUCCGAGGGGAAAGGCAAGGUCAGAUUUUAUGGAGAAUAGGAAGUUUGGUUUAAGGUGGUCUUUCAAUGAGGGGGCGUGAUUGGGUAAGGGUAAUGACAUGAUGGUUUAGGAUUGGAAACAGCAAGACAAGGGUUUUGAGGUGAGGGAUUUGAAGAUCCUUAGGGUGUUAACUGUUUGUUGAUGCUUCCUGUGGAAGAGGUGAAGGGUCUUUUGGGGGAAGUUCCUGUAAUAUACAAUCAAGUUAUUUGCCUGGGCAAGAGUCUCCCAGGUAUUUCCUCCAGGCCAGACUGCACCAGGAUAUAACCUGAGGAUGUGGGAGCCUACAACUUCAACAUUGUUGAGUUACCAUUGUGUGUCAAUGCCAAGAUUCCUGCCUUCUGCCCUGCCCCCAGCACUUCUGAUGCUGCAUUGUAUCAGCACACGCAGAUGAAUCUCAGACCACCCAGAGCUAAGAAACUUCUCUUCAGAAUGGUCUCAUUUGGAGACAUUGAGAGGAAUGGCUUCCCUUCCUUCGCUGGAUUUUAGCAUAUUUUGGAGCAAGGAUAGAUGACAGCUUUGAGAAGAUGAGAUGCUGUGAGCGCUUCGGAACCCUCAGGUCAACUGCCUCUGCCUCUGCUUGCACGCCAGAAGGGAGCUUUCCCAGAACAGCACUCAGACCAUUUCCACACAGCCUCAGGAAGGAGAGCAUCACUGGUCAGGCUGUUUGUUGACAGCUGAUUGACAGCCUACCUCGUCUGUUACCUCUUGUCCUGGCUCGAGGGAGCUCAUCUCCCCUCUCCAUCUCUCCUCCCCUCUCUCUGCGGUUGCACCUGCCAAGAUCAGCUGAUAAAACUGAAGCCCCAACAGUUUGACUUGUCCGAGGUGACAUAGCGAAAACGGGAGUAGGACUCAAGAAUUGGAUCCAAGCCACCGUCUGACCGCCAUAUUGAAAUGCCUAUAUAAUAGACUCUCCCAGAUUCUGGCUCUGCUGAAGAAACCAAACGAAGGUCGAUAGGUUUACAGUCUCCUUCUCUACAAGAAUCUGUUACACCAAUGUCGUUAGUAAAGGCAGCUCUGCUCUCACUGUGGAGGACACAGCGAUCAUGUCUGUCCUAGGCUGCUCUGCUUCUUGCUCAUCAGCCUGGGCUUGCUUUCUCCUGUGCCUCUUGAAGGAUCUAGACAAUUACAGAAAGAACAGCAGGGCAUUACAUUUUCUUGGUAAGGUUAGGGUUUUGAGCUCUCUUUCUCUACUGCCAUGUUGGUCAUCAGCGCUCGCCCCAGCUCCCUGAUGUCCUCCUUGCUCCACGCCAGCAGCCUGGAGGAGUGCUUGCUGUCACAAAGCCUGGAGUCAUGGUCUGCCCCGCCACCUCCCUGGCUGGCU
RNAcentral lists this long non-coding RNA (1400 nucleotides) under Equus caballus (horse). RNAcentral describes it as "lncRNA (ENSECAG00000038093.3)". Lineage: Eukaryota; Metazoa; Chordata; Mammalia; Perissodactyla; Equidae. The record is from RNAcentral.